UUGCUCGCUUUGGCAGCACAUAUACUAAAAUUGGAAUGAUACAGAGAAGGAUAGUGUGGACCCUGAGCAAGAAUAAUAUGCAGAAUUAGUUUUCCCAGCACCAUUUGU
Small nuclear RNA from Vulpes vulpes (red fox), 108 nucleotides. Lineage: Eukaryota; Metazoa; Chordata; Mammalia; Carnivora; Canidae. The record is from Ensembl.